This 75-nucleotide transfer RNA is filed under the name Pontivivens nitratireducens. Its description in RNAcentral is "Pontibrevibacter nitratireducens tRNA-Gly". It matches the Rfam family "tRNA". From Rfam's summary of the family: Transfer RNA (tRNA) molecules are approximately 80 nucleotides in length. Their secondary structure includes four short double-helical elements and three loops (D, anti-codon, and T loops). The record is from RNAcentral. Lineage: Bacteria; Pseudomonadati; Pseudomonadota; Alphaproteobacteria; Rhodobacterales; Paracoccaceae.
GCGGGCGUAGCUCAGGGGUAGAGCGCAACCUUGCCAAGGUUGAAGUCGGGCGUUCGAAUCGCCUCGCCCGCUCCA